RNAcentral lists this ribosomal RNA (253 nucleotides) under uncultured microorganism. Its description in RNAcentral is "partial 16S ribosomal RNA". It matches the Rfam family "Bacterial small subunit ribosomal RNA", at positions 524 to 776 of the family's 1533-position model. The record is from RNAcentral.
UACGGAGGGGGCGAGCGUUGUUCGGAGUUACUGGGCGUAAAGCGCACGUAGGCGGUGCGGUAAGUCAGGGGUUAAAGGCUGCAGCUCAACUGCAGUAAGGCCUUUGAUACUAUCGUGCUAGAGUGCCGGAGAGGGUAGCGGAAUUCCCUGUGUAGCGGUGAAAUGCGUAGAUAUAGGGAGGAACACCGGUUGCGAAGGCGGCUACCUGGCCAGUUACUGACGCUCAUGCGCGAAAGCUGGGGGAGCGAACCGG